RNAcentral lists this ribosomal RNA (527 nucleotides) under Mantidactylus georgei. RNAcentral's name for it is "partial 16S ribosomal RNA". It matches the Rfam family "Bacterial large subunit ribosomal RNA", at positions 1854 to 2597 of the family's 2925-position model. The record is from RNAcentral. Lineage: Eukaryota; Metazoa; Chordata; Amphibia; Anura; Mantellidae.
CCAGCCUGCCCAGUGACAAAGUUCAACGGCCACGGUAUCCUAACCGUGCAAAGGUAGCAUAAUCACUUGUUCUUUAAAUGAGGACUCGUAUCAACGGCACCACGAGGGUUAUACUGUCUCCUUUUUCCAAUCAGUGAAACUAAUCUCCCCGUGAAGAAGCGAGGAUACUAUUAUAAGACGAGAAGACCCCAUGGAGCUUCAAACCCAACUGCACCCCCAAUUUAUAUAACCUCUAAAUCUCUGGGUCCUGCACCGUUGGUUUUAGGUUGGGGCGACCACGGAGUACAACAAAACCUCCACAAUGAACGGGACUAUUCCCUUAUCUAAGAGUUACAUCUCUAAGAAUUAGUAUAUUAAUAUAAAAUGAUCCAUUUUUUGAUCAAUGAACCAAGUUACCCUGGGGAUAACAGCGCAAUCCAUUUCAAGAGCCCCUAUCGACAAAUGGGUUUACGACCUCGAUGUUGGAUCAGGGUAUCCUAGUGGUGCAGCAGCUACUAACGGUUCGUUUGUUCAACGAUCAAAACCCU